GACUGCGCGGGAACGAGAAAGAAGGACACAUGACCGGCGCCAUUCCAUUAGAGGGUAGGAGAAAGUGAGAGGGAUGCUAUACUUCACGAGCGUAGCUAGCAAAGGGCGUACAGGUUCUAUAAAAGACAAAAAUUUAUUUUUAAUAAUUUUAAUAAGUUAGCCUACCGGCGCGCGCUCACAGACGAGGGGUCGGGCAGGGUCGGGAGGGAUCGACCACCAAGUCAAACGACCGGUCGAGUUUGCGCAGUGGACAAAGCAUAACCGCAGUACAAACUUUUUCCAUGUUCGAAGGGGCAAAUAACAUAAGCUGUAACUGCGGGAGAAGAAACCUCGUACCUCGGCCUUCUGGGUGUCCACGCUGUUCAACGCGACGGCUUCUGCGGCAGGCUCCUCCUGCUCGUUCCUCUUCACGCCGAAGAUGGUUUUGUACGUGAAGGACG
Long non-coding RNA from Apis mellifera (honey bee), 440 nucleotides. RefSeq lists it as uncharacterized. NCBI's taxonomy places the organism in Eukaryota, Metazoa, Arthropoda, Insecta, Hymenoptera, Apidae. The transcript has 3 exons. The record is from RefSeq and is a predicted model, not a curated record.